GGGACUUCCGGCGGAAAUUUCUUCCGGGAGCGGAGGCGCGGGACUGACCUGGCCCCGCCCCCUCCUCGUUUCUCUCCAAUUGACCAAUCACAGCUCCGCUUCUUGCCAGGCGCGUAGGCUCAUUCUCCAGUCAGCGACUGCCGUCGUCUCUCGGGCAACAGCGUCCUAGAGACGCCGAAUGGGCAGCCCCUCUGAGACCCCGCGGCUUGGGGUCCGCGCACGCGGGUGCCGGCCCAGCUAGGCGGAGAAUCGAGGAGGGGUCCCCGGGCUCAUCACAGAGGAUUGGAAGGGCCUAGAUUACUGCCCAAUGACAAAAGUGCGGGCUUAAUGUCCUCACUCUUCAGGGAGAGAAUGUGGACUUUAGCAUUUGAACUGAAUAUUUGAGAUUGAAGAUUUCUGAAUAGGAUUUAAUGUGCAAAAUGGCGAUUAUACCGGACUGGCUUAGGUCGCAUCCUCACACACGAAAAUUUACACAUUCAAGACCCCAUUCUUCACCGUGUAGAGUAUAUUCAAGGAAUGGCUCCCCAAAUAAGUUCAGAUCUUCUUCAACCACAGCUGUUGCAAAUCCAACACUGUCCUCCUUAGAUGUUAAACGGAUUUUAUUUCAAAAAAUUACCGACAGAGGGGAUGAGUUGCAAAAAGCCUUUCAGCUGCUGGAUACUGGUCAGAACUUGACUGUGUCAAAAAGUGAACUGAGAAGAAUCAUCACAGACUUCCUGAUGCCGCUCACACGAGAACAGUUUCAGGACGUGUUGGCUCAGAUCCCCCUUAGCACCUCUGGUACUGUACCGUACCUUGCCUUUCUGUCCAGGUUUGGUGGAAUUGACCUAUAUAUAAAUGGUAUAAAGAGGGGAGAUGGGAAUGAAAUGAAUUGCUGCCGCACAUUAAGAGAACUUGAAAUCCAAGUGGGAGAAAAGGUUUUCAAAAACAUUAAGACUGUUAUGAAAGCCUUUGAGCUCAUUGAUGUUAACAAGACUGGACUGGUUCGACCGCAGGAGCUAAGAAGGGUUCUGGAGACCUUCUGUUUGAAGUUAAGAGACAAGGAAUACGAAAAGUUUUCGAAACACUACAACAUCCACAAGGAUACUGCAGUAGAUUACAACGUGUUUUUGAAGAAUCUCAGCAUAAAUAAUGACUUGAACCUUAGAUAUUGUAUGGGAAAUCAAGAGGUCUCAUUGGAGAAUCAACAAGCCAAAAAUUCCAAAAAGGAGCGUUUGCUAGGUUCUGCAUCAUCUGAAGAUAUCUGGAGAAACUACUCCUUGGAUGAAAUUGAGAGGAACUUUUGUCUACAACUUUCGAAGUCUUAUGAAAAGGUUGAAAAGGCCCUCAGUGCAGGGGACCCCUGUAAAGGUGGCUACGUGUCUUUUAAUUAUCUAAAGAUUGUCCUCGACACUUUUGUAUACCAAAUACCAAGAAGAAUUUUUAUCCAGUUAAUGAAAAGAUUUGGACUUAAAGCCACCACUAAAAUCAAUUGGAAGCAAUUUCUAACAUCAUUUCAUGAGCCUCAGGGGUUGCAAGUUAGCAGUAAAGGUCCCCUGACAAAAAGAAAUAGCAUCAACUCUAGAAAUGAAUCUCGCAAGGAAAACAUCAUCACAAAGUUAUUUAGACACACUGAAGAUCGCUCUGCAUCACUGAAGAAAGCAUUACUGAUAAUCAACACUAAACCCGAUGGACCGAUAACAAGAGAAGAAUUUCGAUAUAUUCUAAAUUGCGUGGCUGUAAAACUAAGCGAUUCAGAAUUCAAAGAACUAAUGCAAAUGCUUGACCCUGGGGACACUGGAGUGGUCAACACCAGCAUGUUUAUUGAUCUGAUUGAAGAGAACUGUAGGAUGAGAAAGACAUCUCCCUGUACAGAUGCUAAGACACCUUUCCUCCUGGCCUGGGAUUCAGUGGAAGAAAUUGUUCAUGAUACAAUUACUAGGAACCUACAAGCUUUUUAUAACAUGCUACGCUCAUAUGACCUUGGAGACACAGGGCGCAUUGGCCGAAAUAAUUUCAAGAAAAUCAUGCACGUCUUCUGUCCAUUUUUAACGAAUGCACAUUUCAUAAAACUCUGCAGUAAGAUUCAGGACAUUGGUUCAGGAAGAAUCCUUUACAAGAAACUUUUGGCACGCAUAGGAAUUGAUGGCCCACCCACUGUCUCUCCAGUUCUUGUUCCAAAGGAUCAGCUGUUACAUGAACAUUUACAAAAAGAUGAACAGCAGCAGCCAGAUCUUUCUGAGAGAACCAAGCUCACGGAGGAUAAAACCACCCUGACCGAGAAGAUGACCACAGAAGAAGUGAUUGAAAAAUUCAAAAAGUGUAUACAGCAGCAGGACCCGGCAUUCAAAAAACGAUUUCUUGACUUCAGCAAGGAGCCUAAUGGAAAAAUUAACGUGCAUGACUUUAAGAAGGUACUGGAAGACACUGGGAUGCCCAUGGACGAUGAUCAGUAUGCCCUGCUGACCACUAAAAUAGGCUUCGAGAAGGAAGGGAUGAGCUAUCUUGAUUUUUCAGCAGGAUUUGAAGAUCCUCCAAUGAGAGGGCCGGAAACCACUCCGCCGCAGCCUCCAACUCCUUCAAAAAGUUACGUGAACAGCCACUUUAUCACCGCAGAAGAAUGCCUGAAGCUUUUCCCCAGGAGGCUGAAGGAGUCAUUCCGGGACCCCUACUCUGCCUUCUUUAAAACAGAUGCUGACAGGGAUGGCAUAAUCAACAUGCAUGACCUUCACAGACUGCUCCUGCAUCUACUGCUUAAUCUCAAAGACGACGAGUUUGAGCGCUUCCUUGGCCUUCUUGGCCUGAGACUUAGUGUCACUUUAAAUUUUCGGGAAUUUCAAAAUUUGUGUGAGAAGAGACCAUGGAGAACAGAUGAAGCGCCUCAAAGACUCAUUAGACCAAAACAGAAGGUUGCGGAUUCAGAACUAGCUUGUGAGCAGGCUCAUCAGUAUCUUGUUACCAAAGCAAAAAACAGAUGGUCAGACUUGUCUAAGAAUUUUCUAGAAACCGAUAAUGAGGGCAAUGGCAUUCUUCGACGCCGGGACAUAAAGAACGCACUGUACGGUUUUGAUAUUCCCCUCACACCAAGAGAGUUUGAAAAGCUUUGGGCAAGAUACGACACCGAGGGAAAAGGGCACAUUACUUACCAGGAAUUUUUACAGAAAUUGGGUAUUAACUAUUCGCCUGCUGUCCAUCAGCCCUGUGCAGAGGAUUAUUUCAACUUCAUGGGUCAUUUUACAAAGCCACAGCAGCUACAGGAAGAGAUGAAGGAGCUGCAGCAGAGCACAGAGAAGGCUGUGGCAGCCAGGGAUAAGCUUAUGGACCGCCAUCAAGAUAUCAGCAAAGCAUUCACCAAAACUGAUCAAUCCAAAACCAACUACAUAUCCAUAUGCAAGAUGCAGGAAGUGCUGGAAGAAUGUGGCUGUUCUCUUACCGAAGGGGAGCUGACCCGUCUGCUAAACAGUUGGGGAGUCAGCCGGCAUGAUAAUGCUAUCAAUUACCUCGACUUCCUGAGAGCAGUGGAGAACAGCAAGUCAACAGGAGCUCAGCCCAAGGAAAAAGAAGAGAGCAUGCCAAUCAGUUUUGCAACGCUGAAUCCACAGGAGGUUGUGAGGAAGAUCCAAGAAGUAGUUGAGUCCUCCCAGCUGGCUUUGUCCACGGCAUUUUCUGCAUUGGAUAAAGAGGAUACAGGAUUUGUAAAGGCUACAGAAUUCGGACAAGUUCUUAAGGAUUUCUGUUACAAACUAACGGACAAUCAGUAUCAUUAUUUUUUGAGGAAACUAAGAAUUCAUCUAACCCCCUGUAUAAAUUGGAAAUAUUUUCUCCAGAACUUUAGCUGUUUCCUUGAGGAGACAGCUGAUGAGUGGGCUGAGAAAAUGCCCAAAGGCCCGCCGCCUACCUCUCCCAAGGCCACAGCCGACAGAGACAUCCUGGCUCGCCUCCACAAAGCAGUGACUUCCCAUUACCAUGCCAUCACCCAGGAGUUUGAGAAUUUUGACACCAUGAAAACGAACACCAUCUCCAGAGAGGAGUUUAGGGCCAUUUGUAAUCGCCACGUCCAAAUCCUGACGGACGAACAGUUUGACAGACUCUGGAACGAGAUGCCAGUCAAUGCCAAGGGGAGGCUGAAAUACCCGGACUUCCUGAGCAGGUUCAGUUCCGAGACAGCAGCCACACCAAUGGCCACUGGUGACUCGGCCGUGGCCCAGAGAGGGAGCAGUGUCCCCGACAUCUCGGAAGGCACCAGAUCUGCCCUCUCAUUGCCCACUCAGGAGCUGAGACCAGGGUCAAAGUCGCAGAGCCACCCCUGUACUCCAGCGAGCACCACCGUGAUCCCGGGCACUCCACCCUUGCAGAACUGUGAUCCCAUAGAGAGCAGGCUCCGGAAGAGAAUCCAGGGCUGCUGGCGCCAGCUCCUGAAAGAAUGCAAGGAGAAGGACGUGGCCAGACAGGGGGACAUCAACGCCUCCGAUUUCCUGGCUCUUGUGGAGAAAUUCAACCUGAACAUAAGCAAAGAGGAGUGUCAGCAGCUCAUUAUAAAAUACGACUUAAAGAACAACGGGAAAUUUGCAUACUGUGACUUCAUUCAGAGCUGUGUCCUCCUGCUAAAAGCAAAGGAAAGUUCACUGAUGCACAGGAUGAAGAUCCAGAAUGCACACAAAAUGAAAGAAGCCGGCGCGGAGACGCCAUCUUUUUACUCUGCUCUGCUGCGUAUUCAGCCCAAAAUUGUGCACUGCUGGAGGCCAAUGCGGCGCACGUUCAAAAGCUAUGAUGAGGCUGGAACGGGGCUGCUAAGCGUCGCGGAUUUCAGGACGGUGAGCACAGCUCUGCGCCCAGCGCCUCUGCAGGGAGCAGCUGCCAAAUGCCAGUGGCCAGAAACUUCCCACGGGGAGCCCUCUACCCGCCGCCGAAGGCCCGGUGUGACCUGGCUGCUUCAGAUCUCACUUCCCUGGGACCCCCAAGUUAUCCAGUCCUGGGUCCACUCGCCUCACCUUCAGACCCCGGGUUCUCCUUCCCAAAGGUUGCUGGAGCCCUGCGUGGAUGCCCCAUACCUCCAUCGCCAGCUCCUCAGGGUCAGUGCCUGAGCCCAGAUUCCUUAAGGCACUGCCAUCGCUGCUGCUGCUGCUCCGAGCCCUCUCUCCACAUCUGGGCUCUCCUGCAGGCUCUGAAGAGCAUCUCUGACCUAUACUGGACCUUCCAAGGGGCCUGCAAAGUCCUGAGACAGUACAGCAUCAACCUCUCUGAGGAAGAGUUCUUCCAUAUUCUGGAGUAUUACGAUAAGACGCUGUCUUCAAAAAUCUCCUACAACGACUUCCUCCGGGCAUUCCUCCAGUAGACACCCCUGCUGUGUGCCCAGCGGGACGAAAGCCACAGGGCCUGUUUCAAGACUAAUAAAAUCCUAUAAUUUGGGGGUUUCA
Pan troglodytes (chimpanzee) is the source of this 5396-nucleotide RNA transcript. It is a transcript of the gene named EF-hand calcium binding domain 6, with no coding region annotated. The transcript is spliced from 32 exons. Lineage: Eukaryota; Metazoa; Chordata; Mammalia; Primates; Hominidae. The record is from RefSeq and is a predicted model, not a curated record.